Molecule: transfer RNA, 77 nt
Filed under: Chloroflexota bacterium
Lineage: Bacteria; Bacillati; Chloroflexota
Description: Chloroflexi bacterium (anaerobic digester metagenome) tRNA-Met
Rfam family: tRNA
About the family: Transfer RNA (tRNA) molecules are approximately 80 nucleotides in length. Their secondary structure includes four short double-helical elements and three loops (D, anti-codon, and T loops).
Source: RNAcentral
GGCGAUGUAGCUCAGUCGGUUAGAGCGAGGGCUUCAUAAUCCCUAGGUCCCGUGUUCAAGUCACGGCAUCGCCACUA